Molecule: ribosomal RNA, 466 nt
Filed under: uncultured bacterium
Lineage: Bacteria
Description: partial 16S ribosomal RNA
Rfam family: Bacterial small subunit ribosomal RNA
Source: RNAcentral
GAUGAACGCUGGCGGCGUGCUUAACACAUGCAAGUCGAACGAUGCAGCUCAGCUUGCUGGGUGGGUUAGUGGCGAACGGGGGAGUAACACGUGACUAGCGUGCCCUUUACUCUGGGAUAAGCCUGAACAACUGGGUCUAAUACUUGAUAUGACUUCUCCUCGCCUGGUGGGGGGUGGGGGGAUUUAUCGGUCUUGGAUGGUGUCGCGGCCUAUCAGCUUGUUGGUGGGGUGAUGGCUCACCAAGGCGACGACGGGUAGCCGGCCUGAGAGGGUGACCGGCCACACUGGGCCUGUGCCAGGGGCCGGAGUGCUAAGUGUGGCAGCAGGGGCGAAUAUUGCACGAUGGGCGGAAGCGUGAGGCAGCGAGGCCGCGGGGGUGAGGACGUCCUUCGGGUUGGAAACCGCUUUCGGUAGGGAUGAAGCGGUAGUGACGGUACCGGCAGAAGAAGCGCCGGCUAACUACGUG